This 274-nucleotide ribosomal RNA is filed under the name uncultured bacterium. RNAcentral describes it as "partial 16S ribosomal RNA". It matches the Rfam family "Bacterial small subunit ribosomal RNA", at positions 523 to 796 of the family's 1533-position model. The record is from RNAcentral.
AUACGGAGGAUGUGAGCGUUAUCCGGAUUUAUUAGGUUUAAAGGGUGUGUAGGCGGUAUUUUAAGUCAGUGGUGAAAUCUCGGAGCUUAACUUCGAAACUGCCAUUGAUACUGGAAUACUUGAGUAUAGUUGAGGUAGGCGGAAUAUGUAAUGUAGCGGUGAAAUGCAUAGAUAUUACAUAGAACACCGAUUGCGAAGGCAGCUUACUAAACUAUUACUGACGCUGAUGCACGAAAGCGUGGGGAGCGAACAGGAUUAGAAACCCUAGUAGUCC